AUCAUUGAGCAAUCAAACGACCAAUGAUAGAUCCUGAGGGAUCGUUCUCUUGUGAGCUGUCUCUCUUCUCUCUCAUAGACCCAGAAAGGACAGAUGAAGUUGGUGACUCGGUUCACAGGCAAGGAGGAUGGUUGUAAAUUUCUCAAGGGCAUAUAAGCAUAUCAUUUCACAUCGCGCAGAAAUAAGAAUACCUCCAAGAGGACCAAGACCUCCACGGAGUCAAUGUUUAUUAUAUAAAGCCUUCCAGGUUGCAACCCUCCGACCAAGAGCAGGAGACAUGGAAUCACGAAGGGCUCCCUUGUUCUUCCUGCUGCUCUUGGUUUCAAUCCAUCUUCGCAUGUCCGGGUUUGCAGAAGCCAGGCCACUGCCAUCACCCUCGGCGAAACAAGAGAGGUAUGUCAAGGUGUUGGGGUCGCUGGGCCUCGCCUGCCGGUGCUGCGACGGAGUGGGAGGUGAGUGCAGGAGCACCUGGGAAUCCACUUGCGCCAAACUGGACUGUCGUCCCUGGAAAUCCUUGUGAUGUAGGCAUCUCAAUUUUGAUUUUCUGGCCUUGUAAAUAACUUCUGAAGAGUUUGGUACUUGAAGCACCAAAAUAGCCGUGUAAAUGCCUUCAAUAAUAGCAAAUCUCAAUAUGAUAUGGUCAUCUCUGUAAA
Elaeis guineensis (African oil palm) is the source of this 653-nucleotide long non-coding RNA. RefSeq lists it as uncharacterized. The record is from RefSeq and is a predicted model, not a curated record. Lineage: Eukaryota; Viridiplantae; Streptophyta; Magnoliopsida; Arecales; Arecaceae.